RNAcentral lists this unclassified non-coding RNA (333 nucleotides) under Spizellomyces sp. RNAcentral describes it as "partial internal transcribed spacer region". The stretch from base 1 to 46 matches the Rfam family "Eukaryotic small subunit ribosomal RNA", at positions 1786 to 1831 of the family's 1831-position model. Lineage: Eukaryota; Fungi; Chytridiomycota; Chytridiomycetes; Spizellomycetales; Spizellomycetaceae. The record is from RNAcentral.
AAGUCGUAACAAGGUAACCGUAGGUGAACCUGCGGUUGGAUCAUUACAGAAUGUAUCCGGCCUUUGGCCGUUUUUUGUCUAUUCCUCUUUGCGGGGGAGUAGGCAAAAUCCUACCCACCUUUUGUGAACUGUGUUGUCUCUGGCAGUGGGAUCACCCUCAGCAGUUUCUGCUGUGUGUGAUCUGUCAGCUCUCGGAGUUUCCUUCUGGAAACUGCAAGAGCCGUGGACAAGCUGCCAACCACUUGUACAAAACAUUUUUCUUUUUUCAUAUCUGUCUUACAUUUUAGUAUUUAAAUAUACAAACAACUUUUGGCAACGGAUCUCUUGGCUCUC